GAUCUGGCAAACUUUUGGAAGGAUCUCUCACACAAUUUUCAUUCUCUGUUUAGUUUUAAUACUCCGAUGAAAUGGAAGUUAUAUAUUAUAUGCCCUCUGAGAUGUUACAUUAUCCAUGUUGAGAGAAUAUUUCACUCAUAUGGAGACGUCACCACUGCCGGUGAAGGGCUGCAAAAUUUAGGCCUAUGCUCGGCGCUUAUGGCUAUUGAGCAGGGAGGGAUCUUUAUCGUGUCACACCUGCUGUGACACGGGACCUCGGUUUUUGCGGUCUUAUCCGAAGGACCGCCCCAUUUAGUCGCCUCUUACGACAAGCAAGAGGGUACUGAGGAUCUAUUCUAACCCGGAUCCCCACGGACCCUAAAACAUUCUAAGGCCAUUGUUCUGUUGCGUCUGAGUUUAAGACAGGGUAUUUUGAAUUUUAACGAUGAUAGCUACGGGUGUUUGUAAUCAUCGUAUAUGAAAGGUAAAACCCCUUCCUGCCCCCCCCCCCCCCCAUUUUUCUAGUGUCUCUUUUACCACAAAAAUACCAGACUAGUAGACAGUAAUUGAAAUUUGACAUCAUAAAAGUGAUAAAUUGUUAGGUUUCCUAAUUUUUUCAAACGUACGCCUAUUCUUUUAAGAACGCUUAGCUGUUGAGAGGCUUUUUUACAAUUAAGAUAUGGUUACUAAACUCUGAAAAUAAUGACAACCAUUUUUUUAAAUCUCAAAAUCUCUCAAUGACAGGAAUAUACAUCACUGACUAAUAAAACAUUUAUUUUGUACAAAAACAAAAGAAACCUAAUAAAACUACGUUAGAUAACUGUUUUUAGUGUAAAGAAAUAUGAUAUAAGAAUUACAAUAAUUAUUUAAUCACCAAUAUUACAUAACAUUCAUCUGCCUGUCUUGAGGUUAAAAAGUGUUUGAAAUGAUAAAAUACUAGUAUUAAUACUGAAAUAUAUAUAGAGCAAUUUUCCAUUGAUUUCAAUUUUUUGUGACAAAACGACAGCUUUAAUUUUAAUUUUGAAACCUGUAGUCUACUUAACAUCAAGAAGCUUAACUUAAUUUUCUAAAUAAAUAGUAUUGUUGUGUAUUUCAAAACAAAUGUUAUCCUCUUUUGUUUUUCCCUAGACAUCUUAAUUGCAAUUUACCAAGAUUUGCUUGCAUCUGGUUGUCUGUUAACCACUUUACAAGAAUGGAACAAUUUAAUUCUAGAGUCUUUUUCAUUGCGUUAAUGGCGUUGCUUGAGUUUGAAAGAGUGUUAUCAUCGGAGUAGGCGUAAAGGUAACACCCGGAGACACACUUUAUAAUGUCAUUGAUAUAAAUAUGAAAAUAACAGGACCAAGAAUAGAAUCUUGUGGAACAUCUUUUUACAAGUCUAAAAAAAAUCACUACAAACAUUUCCCAGUUUCAAACAUUGUUUCCGGUUGCUUAGACUGCUUUCCAUAUGACUACUUAGUAGCUUUUCUCGUAAAACCAUAUGCAUUUAAUUUUGCUAAAAUAUUAUCAUGCGAAAUAUAUAAUUAUGGUAUGUCAAACGUUACAUUAUUUGAUUUUUCCAUUUGUAAAGCGUAAUUGUCCAUUUGUAUGGUAUAAUUGUCCAUUUGUAUGGUAUAAUUGUUCAUUUUUAUGGUAUAAUUGUCCAUUUGUAUGGUAUAAUUGUUCAUUUUUAUGGUAUAAUUGUCCAUUUGUAUAGUAUAAUUGUUCAGUUGCAUUGUAAAAAAAAAAUCAUUCACAUAUAUAUUGUAUUUUUUUUUUCAUUUCCGUUGUAUAAUUUUCAUUUGUAUUGUAUAAUACUUCAUCUGUAUUGCAUAUUUCCAUUUCUAUUGUAUAUUUUCCAUUUGUAUUGUAUAAUUGUUCAUACAUGUUGUAUAAUUAUUUAGUUUAUUCAAUAUUUUAAAAAGAAAAUAUUUGUAUAAGUAUAAUUGUUUAUUGAUAUUGUAUCUGAGAGAUUGCUGUGGUUGUUUUUUUUUUUUUUUUACCAGACUUUCUUGUCGGAGAUACGGAGACAGUCAAUUUUUAAAUCGAAGCAGGCUACUGACACACAAGUUGAUGGUGCAGGGGUUCCAACAGUCUCGUUUAAAAUCAGCAUUUCGUAAAUUCUAUGGUCGUUAUAACAAUCUAGUUUGCCAAUACAACCUAUCAUUGGGUCAAAUGCUGUCUGACGUGUUUCAUGCCGAUUGUUAGGCCGUUCUUGGCACACUGCUUACUCCUCCUAGGCACCUGAUCCCACCUCUGGUAUAUCCAGUGGUCCGUGUUUGCCCAACUCUGUUUUGUAUUGCUUAUAGGAGUUAUGAAAUUGAUCACUGUUCGUUAUCUUCGUCUUUCGUGAAAAAAUUGCGUGAAAGAAUCCGGAACAGUUUGAAAACUCAAUGUCGACACCCAAGACCGAAACGAAAUCGAGCGUUCAGAUUUUGGGGCGAGGCUUCUCAUAGAUUUUGAAUAAAACAUGUUUUACGUUUGUUCUUAUUGACCAAUCACAUUGAGAGAAUGGCAUAGCAUGGUCAUCUUAACUCAAUUUUAUUGAAUCCAUGCGAUCAAUUAGUGAGUGAAAUUUGUGUAUUCAAUCAAGCGAAGUGCCACGCUGUUAUUAGAAUGAUAGUGAUAUUUGGCAUGAAAUAAAUUAAAACGAGUUAACGAACAAAUACUUGAUUGAUUGUAUCUUGCUUAACGUCUGACUCGAGAAUUUUUCACUCAUAUGGAGACGUCACCAAGACCGGUGAAGGGCUUCAAAUUUAGGCCUAUGCUCAGCGGUUACGGCCAUUGACCGGAGGGGGGGGUCUUUAUCGUGCCACACCUGCUGUGACACGGAACCUCGGUUUUUGUGGUCUCAUCCGAAGGACCGCCCCAUUUAGUCGCCUCUUACGACAAGCAAGGGGAUACUGAGGAUCUAUUCUAACCCGGAUCCUCACGAACAAAUACACGUUGAACAACAAAGACGUAGACACAGGAAAAUAUAAAUGACAAAGAAAUUAUGUCGCCGGGGGGGGGGGGGGGUAUGAGAGAGAAAAACCAUAAAACAAAUAGGAUAAAAGGUAUACAGGCGGAUCAAGAUGAUGCAGUAGAUAAAUAAUGAUACAACAACACCCGCUACCUAGAAGUAUCGGAUCCACAUAGUGGAUACAAGGUCAAAUCUAAAACAGAUUACAUAAAACAUCAGUAUGACCAACGACAAGAGCAACUGGAUAAUAGGGACGACCCGUACCUUCCUCAGAACAAGCUACAUGUAUAAAGUACAAAUGAAAUUUAAAAACCGGACGAACACAGACUCCAGGACUUACCAGGGGUGGGAUAAGGUGCCCAUGAGAAGUAAGCAUACCCUGUUGACUGGUCACACCCACGUGUGAGCCCUAUUUCUUGUUCAGGUAAACGGAGUAAUCCGUAGUCAAAUCGUUGUGUAAAGAACGGUAUAUAACAAUUGGUACGAAACACGUCAGAGAGCAUUUGACCCUAUGACAGGUUGUAGUGAUAAAUUAGAUCGUUAUAACGGCCAUAGAAUUUGCGAAGUGCGGACUUUAAACUAGACGUUGAAACCCCUGUAACAUCAACUUAUUUGUCAGUAGCCUGCCUCGAUUGAAAAAUUAUGCGCAGAACAAGCUCUUGCGUAUCAAAUCAGUUAAGAGUGCAAGGGAUAAUGGACUGAAUAAAUAUGGGAAAUUGACGAUGGAGAUGCUGGAGUCAUCCCGUUUGUCAUAAAGUUGAGGGACGUCAUCAGCUGGAUGUGAAGUUUCACAAAUGGCGUUCAAGACCACAAUAAGGAGAUUUCAACAUCUGUGUUUAAGGUCUUGUUCGAAAGACCAGUAACUUUCACUUCCAACUGUCUAAUU
This is a long non-coding RNA of Ostrea edulis (European flat oyster), 3803 nucleotides long. RefSeq lists it as uncharacterized. The transcript is spliced from 3 exons. NCBI's taxonomy places the organism in Eukaryota, Metazoa, Mollusca, Bivalvia, Ostreida, Ostreidae. The record is from RefSeq and is a predicted model, not a curated record.